AGAGUUUGAUCCUGGCUCAGGAUGAACGCUAGCUACAGGCUUAACACAUGCAAGUCGAGGGGAAACGACAUCGAAAGCUUGCUUCUGAUGGGCGUCGACCGGCGCACGGGUGAGUAACGCGUAUCCAACCUGCCCACCACUUGGGGAUAACCUUGCGAAAGUAAGACUAAUACCCAAUGACGUCUCUAGAAGACAUCUGAAAGAGAUUAAAGAUUUAUCGGUGAUGGAUGGGGAUGCGUCUGAUUAGCUUGUUGGCGGGGUAACGGCCCACCAAGGCUACGAUCAGUAGGGGGUUCUGAGAGGAAGGUCCCCCANAUUGGAACUGAGACACGGUCCAAACUCCUACGGGAGGCA
Molecule: ribosomal RNA, 354 nt
Filed under: uncultured bacterium
Lineage: Bacteria
Description: bacterial SSU rRNA
Rfam family: Bacterial small subunit ribosomal RNA
Source: RNAcentral